Molecule: ribosomal RNA, 253 nt
Filed under: uncultured bacterium
Lineage: Bacteria
Description: partial 16S ribosomal RNA
Rfam family: Bacterial small subunit ribosomal RNA
Source: RNAcentral
GCCAGAGGAGGCGAUCGUUAUCCGGAGUCAUUGGGCGUAAAGGGUACGUAGGCGGCUAGUCAAGUCUGAGGUUAAAGACCACAGCUUAACUGUGGGAAGGCCUUGGAAACUGACUGGCUAGAGUGGGGCAGGGGUUGCGGGAAUUCCCGGUGUAGCGGUGAAAUGCGUAGAUAUCGGGAAGAACACCUGAGGCGAAAGCGCGCAACUGGGCCCUCACUGACGCUGAGGUACGAAAGCUAGGGGAGAGAAUGGG